This 202-nucleotide long non-coding RNA is filed under the name Dasypus novemcinctus (nine-banded armadillo). RNAcentral describes it as "lncRNA (ENSDNOG00000050861.1)". Lineage: Eukaryota; Metazoa; Chordata; Mammalia; Cingulata; Dasypodidae. The record is from RNAcentral.
AGCAGGGUGGAGGUGAGGCCGGGCCAGCUGCACUUGGGGGCUGAGACGGGGCCUGGUCGGUAUUGUCUCUCCCUGGGGCACACCCUGGCCUGCCAUCCCUUUCCCACUGAGGAAUUUGAAGGAGUAGGAGAGAAGACAUCAAGAUGAGUGGGGAUGUGGCCGAUUCCACGGACGCCCACAGAGCUCUCGGCCACGUGGAGAC